This 253-nucleotide unclassified non-coding RNA is filed under the name Peethambara sundara. RNAcentral describes it as "partial contains 5.8S ribosomal RNA, internal transcribed spacer 2, and large subunit ribosomal RNA". The record is from RNAcentral. Lineage: Eukaryota; Fungi; Ascomycota; Sordariomycetes; Hypocreales; Stachybotryaceae.
CGCACAUUGCGCCCGCUGGUAUUCUAGCGGGCAUGCCUGUCCGAGCGUCAUUUCAACCUUCAGGCUCUUUGCAGAGCCUGGUGAUGGGGAUCGGCCUGCUUCUAGGGGCCGGCUCCGAAAUAUAGUGGCGGUUAGGCUGCGGUACUCUCUGCGUAGUAGAUAAGCUCGCUCUGAGACGUGGCAUGGUCACGCCCGUACCUGCUUCGGCAUAUUGGUUGACCUCGGAUCAGGUAGGAAUACCCGCUGAACUUAA